GGUGCUUUGGGACCUGCUGGGCCACGUGGAUCUGCUGGCAAAGGACUACCAGGACCUCCAGGGCCUCCAGGACCCAGUGGGCUCCCAGGUGGAAAUGGAUUUCGGGGUCCUUCUGGACCUUUUGGUCUGCCAGGAUUCCCAGGGCCUCCUGGACCACCUGGACCUCCUGGGCUGCCAGGCACCCUUCAUGAUGGCGGUGGGGACCUUCAGGUAG
This is a long non-coding RNA of Dryobates pubescens (Downy woodpecker), 214 nucleotides long. RefSeq lists it as uncharacterized. Lineage: Eukaryota; Metazoa; Chordata; Aves; Piciformes; Picidae. The transcript has 5 exons. The record is from RefSeq and is a predicted model, not a curated record.